GAAAUAUCCCCUUCUAUUAUUAUAAACUGAGCAAAUUUGAUCUGAAAAAUUUUGAGAGAUAGAUGUAGAUGACAUGAUGCCAUUUUUACAGUUAUUUUUCAAAUUAUAACCAUGGUCCACCCUCUGUGAAGAAAAAGGAUUUCCAUUCCCCCAGUAGAUGUACUCCAAUGCUGUAUCUUUAUAUUUAAAGUGAGCAUUCAAAAGGCCUGAUUCCUGUUCUCUUGCUAAGCUAUCUUUAUGCCACCGGAGCGGUACAGGGGUGCCUUAAACUAGCCCUAGCAGGCUGAUGGGGAUUGCCCCAGCACAGGAAAUUUCAGCCCCUCCCAAACCCCUGAACAUCCAGAGGGUGCAUUGGCACGAGCUGUGGAGUAUGGGCAUGAUGGGGGCCAGAUCAUGAUGAGUUCCCUGAUCCCCAACUGGUAAUAUGAUUCCAUAAUGUUUUAUAGUGGAGAUUUCAAAGAUGAGGCUAGACACAGAGAAUAUAGCUUCACAGAUUCCUCAAUAGUGGUUCCACUUAAGUUUUAACAGCAAUUAUGUCCAUUUAUACAUAAAUCAAUAGUAAUUUCUCUCCCACGUUUAGCUGUAGAUUCCCUCUUCAAAGAUAAUAAGCUAAAGAGAAUGUCUGCUUCUGCUUCACAAUAAAAUACUUAAUUUACCUUUCACCACCAUGAACUUGCCAACAUCAUAGGAUUAUAAAUGUCAUUUAAACAUGAGCAUAUUGUUCUUAUUAUGGUCAAUUAGUACUGAAACUUUGCUGUGUAGAACCAAUACAGGACUACACAUUGGCCACACAGCCAGCACUAGGCAUAAGCAGACUAAACAAUUGCUUAGGGCCCUGAGCAGCUGAAGGGGGCCCCUAUUUGCUUUUUUUAGUAAGUGUUGUGGGGGAUGGGAGCCAAAAAUAUUCCUGGUUAAGGCCCCCAAUGAGCUAGCACCACCUCUGAUUGGCAAUGAAACUGUGCGAUGCUCCUCCAGGUUUUAGAUCUGUCAAAAUAAUGCAACUUCUCUUGCAUUAAUGUUGUACGUAUUGGCAAUAUAUAUAUAUUAGAUAUCUUUACUUCCCACUGGACAAGUACCUCAGAGCUAGAGUCUGGUUCUCUGGUUGAAAUGUAACCCAGAGGCACUGUUGGUGAAAGGAUAAAGAGUGAGACAAUCUUGGGUAUCUGUAAAUCAGUCAUAUCCACUGGCUCAUGAAUCCUGUCUAAUCCUGCGACCACAGCACAUCACUUCUUUUACGGCUUGCUUAGACACUGAAUUUAGUGUCCAGGCCCAGUAUAUGAUCUUUCAGUCUUACUAAACCAGAAGAUUAAUCUUUUAUUUAAGAUACUUUACCUGUUUCUUCUCAGUGAUUCCUGUGUUCUGGUUUCUCAGUGUUAUACAAGCCUUUUAAAUAAACACACACACGCACGCACACACACAGAGUCACUCACUCGUGUGUGUGUGGAUAGAUAGAUAGAUAGAUAGAUAGAUAGAUAAAAUGAGUCUAACACAGAGGGGAGGCUGUGUAAAUCAGACAUUGUGUAAGCCUUUUCUUUUAUUACACCGUGGUUUUUAUGAGAUUCUUUAGCUCAACUUCCUUUUCAAAAGAUACACUACCAACUCUAUAGUGCUCACACUCGUCAACUUUUUGUUACAGUUCUGACAGUCUGCAAAGAACUAGAACUGUCUUUCCCGCUCCUCACCACUCAAUGUGGCAAUGUGUUUUUUUUUCUAUUUUGAAAAUAUAGUUGUUUUACUCACCCUCAAAAAAAGUCACUGACCUGGGCAAGAGGAGGAAUAGAGUUUUCCAAAUUAGUAUUAAUUUAAAGUCAGAUGCUGUAUAUCUCUCAGAGGGAAAAAAAUGUCUUUUCUACAGAGAUAUUUCCAAUAUUUAAAAUAUAUGAAUCCUCUGAAUAAUGUACUGGGUUCUAGUGGGCUGACAUCAUCACUGUGUUCAUUUAUUUCUUUCCCUUCUGAAAAUUCUCUAAGGAUCAACACCCCCACAGAUGAGCCAUGCAGAGAUCAGCAUUUGGGAGGGAAGCAGAGUUUGGAACGGGAAACAUAUCUUAACACUCAGGGGGCCCCCAAUAUUAGCAGAUUGUCUCAGAAGUCCGUAGACUACUUUGUAGGUUGGAUGCUAUGCCAUCCAUUCUUCAGAGUUUUUUCUUUUCUUUUUUUUAUUGCAUGGCCAUCCUUACAGGAAAUGUUUGUUACAGUGUUGAAUGCUUCAUACUGGAAAUCAACUUCGCAUGUGGCUAUUCUCACAAAUGUGCAAUCCCCAAAUGUAUACAUGUACCAAAACUAUGUUAGAACUAAAAGUCUGAUCAUGGAAACACCACUAAGGCCAGUGAUUAUUACCAUGAAUAGUACCCUUGACUGCAGUCAAUGAGUGUGUUUAUUUACACUGCUAAGUAUAAGCCAUGCCACUUAUAUCAUUCAACAUCUUGAUUCAAAGAGUGAUAUCAAGAAAGCUAUUCAGAUAACCUGCUUUUAUGGUAGGUGUUGGAGAAGCUAUUAUACCACCAUUAGUCCAAAAUAGAGACAAAUAUUCAGAUGAAAGGAAGACUCAGACUCUCUAACCGGAGAAGCUUUUGAGUGAGUCAUAACCAGGGGAUACACUUAAUCUAGACUCAGAUAAUAGAGAAUUUCUGAUUAGACAGACUCUUUUGACCCAAGGAGAACUACUGACUUCCUGGAUCCAACUGCAGGACAAGUCAGAGCCAUGGACUUUAAUGAGUAAAGAUAAGCACAUGUGUAAGUGUUUUCAAGAUCUGGGCCUUAACUGCAAACUAUUUAGAGCAAGGUCAGUAAGAUUUCUGUACAUUACUCAGAAUAAAAGGGUCCCAAUCUGGACACUACCAUAAUAUAAAUUAUAAGUAAUAAGACAGCAACAAGUCAUGUACUUUUCUAAGAGAAUUGCACCUAUCCACAAACUUUAAAGUGCCUUAACUAAAAAACAAAGAGACAAAAUCCAGAAGCAACCUCUUCCAUAUAUGGAAAUAACUAGCCAGACCUCACAACAAAGGGAAGAUGAGGAGAUAUAACCUAUGCUUCCAAAAUAUUACACUCCAUGUUACAUGCAUCUUCUUAAAAACCCGUACAACAAGACUUGCGAUUCUCUUUUUCAUAACAGGCAAAAUUAUUAGGCUGUAUUAGGUAAUAGUAACAUUUUUUUACUCCAAGAAUGCAAGGAAACAGCUUUCAAAUCCCUAUUUCUUAUUUUAUAUGUUGUUUAACCACAAGAAAUUCCGAGGGAAUUCGUUUUCAUGUUCUCCCUGCUCCAAAAAUAUCAUUGCUGUGACCUCAUUGAUACAACCUGACUGGAAUGUUUCUAGCGGAGAGAAAACCUUCACAAUAAUAGGGGGUUACACAGGAAGAACAGACACAAACUACAACAUAAGAGCCUUGAUGAUAUAAUCCCAUAUUCGACAGAAAGAUGGGUUGACUGCUUUCUGCUGGCUGCAGUUUAGCAAGACCCUUAGGAGUACUCUUCCCUUAAACUCCUGCCAUCCACCCCAAACUUACACUGAAAUCAAACCACUAGGAAAAUAAGGCACUUCUUAGAAGUAUCCCUGACAAACAUUUUAAUGUGUUCAGCAUGCAUGAUGCUCCAGCAGAAGUUUCAAUACAGUCUUCAUUUCUUUACCUAGUGGCACAAGGGAGGACCUGGUGUGGUGCGAUAGAAAAAGGGCCAUAUCCUUUGUGGUGUACCACAUUAAAUUAAUUUGUCAGGCUUUCUAAGUCUGUCACUGUUCACAGACGGUGGAACAAUUGUUUUGCUUCCCCACUCCCCUCUUUUUUUCCCAAUUUUCACAUAGUAUCAUGCUAAAAAAGAGUUAUGGAUUUCCUUCUGAGAGGACUGCAUGGACUGAUAAAGUAAAUUCAUGGCACAAAACAACUUGUUAUUUUCCCUUUUACCUCAUAAUUUCACUUAAGAGAGAAAGUGCAAUAAAUUUUGGCGGGAAAAAUAAGACUAUUUUGGACAUUUCUAAUGACUAGUCUGUGUAAACACUAUUGAGAAAUAUGGGUGAGAACAAUUCAUCCAGAGGAAUGAUUAUUUUUCUUGCCCCGAGGCCCUAAACAGCACUUUUGUGAAGUAUUUUAAAUUGUCUGAAGUUCAUUUAAGAAGAGGAAGAAGCAAAAAAAGAAUGUUUGGAAAACUCUCAUAGGCUUUCAUGUUUAAAUGCUUUAUUCUUUGGUGAUUAUGAAACAGUCACUUUCUAACUCAACUGAAGAACUGUUGCCCAAACUUUCCUAACACACAGUUAGUGGCCAUUUUGAUCUCACUUACUCUGGAUAUAUACCAGAAUAGCUGAGAUCAGAAUCUGGUCCAAGGUAUCGAUGCAACAUUUAGAACAAUGGGGUCCUGGUCCCAGACUGGGGCCCCUAGGGGCUACGAUAAGAUAAAUAAUGAAUAAUAAUACACAGUUGGACACUCUCGCUAUGCACACAAUGUGUUGGAGCUAAAUUCUCUGCUAGUGUAAACUCGCACAGCUCCACUACCUGUAAUGGAGCUUCAGCAAUUCAUGCCCGCAGAGAAUUUGGCCCUUGGUCUUUAGUGUUUUACUAGCUUCCCUGACACUACUUAAAUAUGGUGCCUCGGUAUAGCUCCUAUUGUCUCCGGAACUCUGCUACAGGCUGGCUGGGCAUUAGUACUUCAAGCACUGCCCCACAGGGUUCACUCUUCAUUGCCUUAUCAAAUGAACAAAAUUUCCUCAAUAAGUCUUCCUGUACUGCAGAUAAAAUAGCAAACAAACAUUUGGGCGAGUUAAAAAAAAAGCUGACUAAAUGCAGGAAGAUCAUUCUUGUUAUUCUACCAAUAUUGCUUCCUUUGCUCCAAAGGAAAUGCUAGUUCAGAAGGAGCCAGGGGAGCAGUUAGCAGCUUCUUGCUAGAGCUCCAGUAUCUCUGCUGCAGAGGCUAGAAGAUGCUGUAAGAAUGUGUGACUCAUACGGCUCAUCAUGAUUGAAACCUCUUCCGAUGCCAGUAGAAAUCUACUUAAAACCUUUCAUUUGCAGGGUAAAAAGAGAGCUGGAAUGACAUUUUUCUUCUGUACAUUCACCCUGUUUUCAAAUCAGAGGGCCCCGAGCUGCAGCAGGAGCAGGGUGCUUGCAAUGUAGCUGGUUGUGACAAGGCAGCUGACAAGCCUUCCGCAUUCCACAGCUCGAUUAUUAAUAUGAAUAACUAAUGACUCACGCUGACACUACCGAGGCCGGGAAACUUUCUGUAACUAAAGAGUUAUAAAAUGUUAUUCUCCCACAGCACCACCACCAAAUCGAUGAGUGAUCUGUGUACGGUUUUGCAUUCAUUUCAAACUGAAUAUGCAUGUCCCUGCACACAUGGCUUGAAACAGUCAGAAGACUGGUGUUUAGGGGAAAGAGUUCAGUUGUAUCAGGCUAUUUAGGGGGCUCACUGCAAGAACGCAGAGACAUUUCUCACGCUAGUCCACUUGCUUACUAAUAUGAAUAACUAAUGAUUAAAGCAUCUGAUCUACCGAGGGCUGUGAGAUUAUUAGACCAGGCUUGUGAAACUUCUUUGUCACUGUCUGGAAAAGCCAGACUUCUCUGGAGGUUGCAGUUUCAUUUUUUUCCCCCUGCUCAGAGGACGUGGUACGGCUUCAGCCAAUAAUUUAGAAUCAUCCGAGAGGGACACAUCACCAAAAGCAACACUACAUGUAUGGAUCCUCUUCUUCGCCUGGGCUACGUGAGUUGCAACUACCUUCAAGCAAGUUUCUGAGCUUUUCUUACUUGUUCCCAGUGAGCAUGCUUCUUCUUCCUUUACCCCGACUGACAAAGUAGCAAAAAUGAGACAGCAUCACGCUCUGCUGGCUGUACGUAUGAGCUUGCUCGUCAUUCAGUACUGUACUGGUUUUAGUCUGUGAUAUGUGCAGCAUGCCGUUGGCUGUUACUUUUAAUGGCUGUAGCUCAAAAGCAAAGAUUCUGCCAAAAGAAUCAAAAAGGUUGAUGCUACUGCUAUUGUAGUGUGUGGAACUCCGAUGAAUAGUAUAACGUGCCUGGAUUUACAAAAGGAAAAUCUGUGAGGAUGCCAUGACUCUUUGAACAGCUAAACAGCUGCAAUUUACAUGGUGCUGUCGGCUUAUUUCCUUGCUUGGUGCCUGAGUGUGAGUGAUGAUAUAAGUUUCAACACAGAGCUGGGAACAGCAUCAGGGGCUGCCUCGACAACAAGAGUUACCAGUGAAUUGCGUGGGUGUGGGAGGAGCAGGUCAUCUGGCUCUCAUCUCGGAUGGUAGGCCAAGGAACGUUAGGGAAUAUGCCAAGUGUUUCUGGAUGAGAGCUACAUCCCAGAGGGCUGACGGAAAUUAAAGAUACACUGGUAUAGUGGUUAAUGCUCCAAAUUCAUGGACAGUAAUAAAAAUAAUGUUGUCCAGAAAGCAGCAGGAGGCAUUCUGAAGAGAAAGAGACAGGCUAAUAGAAUGAAUAGAAAUGUUUGCAUCUUUGCCAGAUGGAUGACCAGGCUGAUUAUUGUACUUGGCUUGCUGAGCUCUGCAGUGGAAGAGGACUUUCUAGGUAACUGUACACAAUGUAUUUGGGUAUGAAAAUGAGACUGCCUCAAAAGAAACAGAAACCCAUGGGAUUACGGAAGGAUUUAGUGAAUUAAAUGGAUGUAUAAUGUUGUCAUGUUGAUCUCCGACUGCUCUCAUUCUCUUCCCACCCUUUCUGUCUGUUUCUCUCUCCCAGACAUGCCAAUGUAUUCAAAUAAAUCAGCACUAAUUAAAUACACUUGGGCAGUCGUACAUUAGCUCUCAAAAAACUCACCCCCCAAAAAAAUCUUUGAUCAAGUAAUACUACAUGUUACUGAAACUGACAAAAGAAUUCUUAGUUAAGGAUGAAACUCCACCUUCAGUGAUCAUACUAUAAAUGUUUAGGUGAAGUCCCAUAUGUAUAGCCACCAUUGCUUGGACUGACUGCUAAACCUGAACACAGUGAUAGGUUAAAAAUAUAAUCUCAGCCUUUAAUCUGGAUUUUCUGUUUGCUUUUGUUGGUUUAACUCAAAAUCUUUUUGUUUACUUGAGUGUAAUUUGUGGUGAUUUGUAACAGAUUUAAAAUAAAUUUUAAAUUUUAAUAAAAGAGAAUAAAAUCAGAACAAUAUUUGUAUACAACUUGUAUGUACUAUAUUGCUGUUAAAUAUGCAGUA
This is a long non-coding RNA of Chelonia mydas (Green sea turtle), 7132 nucleotides long. RefSeq lists it as uncharacterized. NCBI's taxonomy places the organism in Eukaryota, Metazoa, Chordata, Testudines, Cheloniidae. The transcript is spliced from 5 exons. The record is from RefSeq and is a predicted model, not a curated record.